This 481-nucleotide ribosomal RNA is filed under the name uncultured bacterium. Its description in RNAcentral is "partial 16S ribosomal RNA". It matches the Rfam family "Bacterial small subunit ribosomal RNA", at positions 28 to 507 of the family's 1533-position model. The record is from RNAcentral.
GAUGAACGCUGGCGGCGUGCCUAACGCAUGCAAGUCGAACGGAGAUUACGGACGGAAGUUUUCGGAUGGAAGACUGUAAUUCUUAGUGGCGGACGGGUGAGUAACGCGUGGGCAACCUGCCCUAUACAGGGGGAUAGCAGCUGGAAACGGCUGGUAAGACCGCAUAAGUCGGCGAGACCGCAUGGUUUUGCCGGGAAAUGAGCAAUCAGGUAUAGGAUGGGCCCGCGUCCGAUUAGCCAGUUGGCAGGGUAAAAGCCUACCAAAGCAACGAUCGGUAGCCGGACUGAGAGGUCGGACGGCCACAUUGGGACUGAGACACGGCCCAAACUCCUACGGGAGGCAGCAGUGGGGGAUAUUGCACAAUGGAGGAAACUCUGAUGCAGCGACGCCGCGUGAGUGAAGAAGUAUUUCGGUAUGUAAAGCUCUAUCAGCAGGGAAGAUGAUGACGGUACCUGACGAAGAAGCCCCGGCUAACUACGUG